CCUACGGGUGGCAGCAGUGGGGAAUAUUGGGCAAUGGGCGCAAGCCUGACCCAGCAACGCCGCGUGAAGGAAGAAGGCUUUCGGGUUGUAAACUUCUUUUGACAGGGAAGAAUAGAAGGCGGUACCUAUCGGAACAGCCACGGCUAACUAAGUGCCAGCAGGCGCGGUAAUACGUAGGUGGCAAGCGUUGUCCGGAUUUACUGGGUGUAAAGGGCGUGUAGGCGGGUGUACAAGGCCGAUGUGAAAUCCUGAGGCUUAACCGCAGAACUGCAUUUGAAACUGGUGUUCUUGAGUACUGGAGAGGCAGACGGAAUUCCUAGUGUAGCGGUGAAAUGCGUAGAUAUUAGGAGGAACACCAGUGGCGAAGGCGGUCUGCUGGACAGCAACUGACGCUGAGGCGCGAAAGCGUGGGGAGCAAACAGGAUUAGAUACCCGAGUAGUC
Molecule: ribosomal RNA, 442 nt
Filed under: uncultured bacterium
Lineage: Bacteria
Description: partial 16S ribosomal RNA
Rfam family: Bacterial small subunit ribosomal RNA
Source: RNAcentral